GUGUGUGUAUUUUGUUGUAGUGGUGGGGAUGCAGAAAAUUUUAUUCCUGCAAAUCCUUUAGUGACUCCUAUUCAUAUUAAGCCUGAAUGAGAUUUUGUA
Long non-coding RNA from Octopus sinensis (East Asian common octopus), 99 nucleotides. RefSeq lists it as uncharacterized. The transcript has 4 exons. Lineage: Eukaryota; Metazoa; Mollusca; Cephalopoda; Octopoda; Octopodidae. The record is from RefSeq and is a predicted model, not a curated record.